AUUUAUGUCCAUAUCACCCUGAAUGUGCCCACUCUCCUCUGAUCUCAGAGGCUAAGCAGGGAUGGAUCUGAUUAAUACUUAGAUGGGAGACUGCCUGGGAAUAAGAGGUGCUAUGGGCU
This 119-nucleotide ribosomal RNA is filed under the name Monodelphis domestica (gray short-tailed opossum). Lineage: Eukaryota; Metazoa; Chordata; Mammalia; Didelphimorphia; Didelphidae. The record is from RNAcentral.